UGGGGAAUUUUCCGCAAUGGGCGAAAGCCUGACGGAGCAAUGCCGCGUGGAGGUGGAAGGCCUACGGGUCGUCAACUUCUUUUCUCGGUGAAGAAACAAUGACGGUAUCUGAGGAAUAAGCAUCGGCUAACUCUGUGCCAG
Molecule: ribosomal RNA, 141 nt
Filed under: uncultured bacterium
Lineage: Bacteria
Description: partial 16S rRNA
Rfam family: Bacterial small subunit ribosomal RNA
Source: RNAcentral